ACCUUUUGUUGGUGGUGCUGUUCAUUUGCAUUUAUCCCAAACUUCUCCUAAACAUAUUUGUAUUUUUAUAUGGUUUCUUGUAUCAAAUAAAGACAAAUUUAGACUUGGAUAAGAAGACACGUUUUUCAGAAAGACUACUGCAAUCAAGAGAAUAUUCCAACCUCAGGAUCUGCAAGUGUCUCAAAAUCAAACAGAAAAAAGCUUUCCUCAUACAGGGAGGGAUCAUCAUGGACACAUGGACAACAGAGAUUUUUGAGGGGAAAUUAUUCAAAGGAAUGAGAGUGAGCAGACAGCAUGUUCAGGGUGGUCUGACAGAAAAUAUUUCUCACUGUGGUUUGCCCAUUUCAAUUCUAUGGAUGUGCUAUGUAUUAGAAUUCUCCAGAAAAACAAAACCAACAGGAGGUGUAUAUACAGAAAGACAACUGUCUUGUGGUUGUAGAGAAAAAUGUGAUUAAAAUUUAGUCAGGACAAAGGAGAAGGCAAGAAAUGCAUAACUGCAAGCACCUGGUCAUUUGUUUUCCUUCAAACUUCAGUUUGAUAAAUAUGUUUGUCAGAUUCCAUACAAACUAAGUAUUUGAAAUGACUAGGUUCACUAUCAGAAUUAACACUUUUAGCUUCAUCUCCCGACAUUAAAUAGGAUAAGGGCACUGGAAGCAUUCAUUGAAUUAUUAUUUUGAAGGGAAGGUAUUUCAGUAGGUUAGGUAAAGAAAUUAAAAUAUAAAGUAGGUGUUUCAAAAAGUCAAUCAAAGGGAAAGGUCUGAAGAAUUUCAAAGAUCCCACAAACCAGUAGUGACAUCAGAUGACAUAUUUCAUUAAGAAUUAGAAACGCUUUUUCAUUCAACAGUUUAUUAUGGGCUGACACUGUGCAAAGCAGUGGCAAUUCAUAUAAGGUUGAACAAAGUGGAGACUCUUCCCUGAUACUGUAGACGUUACUUUAAUAGUAGGGAGAGAGACACAUAAAUGUAUCAUACAACUCCAUGUCAUUUGAGUUUCACAAAAAAGGAACUGCUUAUUGUGUAGGCAUGUAUAUAAAGAUAUACUAUGCAUUUAAUACAUAUGCCAACAAAUAUUUUAUUUUUCAAUUCAGUCAAGGUAUCAAUAUGAACUCUAGUUUUUGAAUUAUAAAACUGUCCAUAAGGCUGGAAAGAAAAAAAAAAAACUACACUUUCUUUUAAUUAUAUAAUCUUUCAUAUUUUUCACAUAGGCAUCUUUGCCUAGAAUAUUUUUCCCCCCUUAUGUUCACCAGCAAAAUCCUACUCAUCUUUCAAGAUACAAUUCAAAUGUCACUUUCUCUGGCUCAGGCAGUUAACUGCUCCCUAAUCUCUUCCCAUAGCACUUUCCAAACAGAAGGUACUUUUUACUGCUUUACAUAAGUUUAUUUCUUUACUCAUAUAUUUCUCCCACAAAACUCUUUUUGAGAAUAACAACCAAGUCUUUCUUAGUUUUACAAAUUAGAGCCUAGCACAGUGUUUGCUGAUAUAUAAGAAAUAUAUUGAAUGAAUGACUGAAUAAAUAGUCAUAAUCACUCGGAGUUUACAGCGCAGCCACUGUCUUGAACUUUGCUAGUCACCAUGACAGGAAAAAUAGAAAUAUUUAAAGGGUUUCAGAAGGGAAACUUGCUACUUGAGUGUCCACAAUUCACUAACAAAGCUGGUCUUAGGUCACACUGAAUCACAAAGGAGCCAAUAAAACACAAUCCUACCAUUUGCCUGGAAGAAAAGAGCCAGUAAUCAGCACUAAUGAUUACUGCACUUGACAACUAGGAAUAAAUAUGUUUCUUUCAGAAAGACAUCUUUUUCAUCACUAGAAAACAUAUGUUCAAAAGUCACAAAGGAAAUUGUAGGGAGGGAAUUAAUCAUGGGAUGCUAAUCAAUCUAAAAUCCCUGUCUUUUCUAUAGCACUGUGAAGUAAUAUCUUAAUAUUCUCAAUAUUCAUUGUUAUGCUUUUAACAAAUCUCAUUCUUCUUAUUCCAGUUCAUGUCAAUUUUUUGGCCAAUACUUUUGUUAGAAUAUUCAAAUAUAGUCUAAAGAUCCACAAAAUAUUGUUAUGGGAAUAUCACAAAGCAAGGGCAAAACACUAAUAUUAUCAUUUGACACUGCUCUAACAAGUAGUUAACCUAUUCCUCUUUUCAUCAGAUGCUCAUUUAAAUUCCUCUAAAAUAACUGUUUAGGACAUGAUUUUCACAAAGCUGUGUUGGAAUCUGACCUACUUAAACAUGCUUUGUAAAUACAGCUGUUAACCAGGUUAGAGAAGGGUUAGUAGAUAAGAUCAUAGAAAUCAAAUCCAGAGAGCACAAUUUUUAUCUUACCCCAACUAGUAGUGUCAUAUCCUAUAUUGAACAAAUAAUUUUACAAAAUAAUUUUAUAACUAUGGUAAUAGUAAUAGGCAGUGUGACACAAGGGGAAGAGCCCUAGUCUUGGAUCUAGAAGAUUUGAAUUUAAUCUCAGCCCCUCUGAUUUUCACCUGUAAAAUUUUGAAAUCUCAAACUUUUCAAAGUCUCAGUUCUCUCUUCUGUAAAAUAGUGACUCUUUGAAGACUCAUUUGAAACAAUGUAUAUGAAAGACCUUUUAAAUUCUAAGACACAAAUGUCAUAUUCUUAUUAUUGGUAACAUAAAAGCAUCCCUCAAAAACCACUUAGGACGCUAGAUAUUAGGUUCCAUAAUUCUCAUCAAUAUUUGAAGAAAUAAGAAUAAAAUUAGCAUAUAACUUAUUUAAGAUCAGGCAUCAAAGAAUGAAACUAUUUUGUGCAAUAUUGUAGCAGUAGAUACAUGAUGCUACCCAUUUGUCAAAACCCAUAGAAAUACACAAUAUAAAGAGUGAAUCUUAAUAUAAGUAGAUAUUUGAAAUAUCAUUGAGGAAGUCAGCAUAUUCCACAGUGAAAUGCAGAAUGUGACAAAACCAUCUGACUGUAUUGCAAAUAUACAAAACCUCGCUAAAGGAGGCGGGGAAAGGUACUUACCUCAAGAACUUUGUAAUGAGUGGAGAAUAUAAAACUAAAGGCAAAAGACCCAGCAGUGUACUCUAAUUGCUUAAGCUGUCUCCUUUAGGUGUAUAUGUUAACAAUUAUGAAAUCACAAUGCAUGUAUAACUGAGAUUGCACACACAAAUAAGUGAACUAUAGAUGGUGCAAGUCAGAUUUUUCACUGUUGGACUAGAAGGUUACAGACAAACCAAAAGGGACAGCUAGGAUCAAUCAUGUGAUACUCAAAUAGAAUUACAGACAGAAUAAGCUCAUGUUUAAAUUAAUACAAGAGUUCCCAUUGUGGCUCAGAAGAAAUUAAUCUGACUAGUAUCCAUGAGGACACAGGUUCAAUCCCUGACCUCGUUCAGUGGGUUAAGGAUCCAGUGUUGCCAUGAGCUGUGGUGUAGGUUGCAGAGGUGGCUUGGAUCCUGCAUUGCUGUGGCUGUGGUGCAGGCUGGUUGCUACAGCUUUGAUAAGAUCCCUAGCCUGGGGACCUCCACAUUCAUGGGUGCAGCCAUAAAAAGACAAAAAAAGAUUAAUACAGAUAUGGAUCAAUAAAUUAGAAAUAGUUAUCAAUACAUGCACAUACAAGGGUUGGUAUAAACAGAUAUAUUUCCAAGUUUUGUCUGUCUGCUGAGAAGACCUAGAAGCAAUGACACCCCAGUUGCAAUGAGCACACCUAGGGUCCAGAUACUAAUUUCUAUGCCAUUAUUCAAUAAAAGGAACCAGGGCUCCUUGGAAAAAUGGUUGAUUCUAAGACUAGGGAAGGGAAUAUGCAAAAUGAACUUAGAGCAUCUUAUAGUGCCAGAAGGAGAGGAAAUGCACAAAAGAUAAAACAGUGGGGGUACAGUGUGGGGGGUGGGAGUGGGGCAUCCUUGGGCAUCCU
RNAcentral lists this long non-coding RNA (3848 nucleotides) under Sus scrofa (pig). RNAcentral's name for it is "lncRNA (multiple genes)". The record is from RNAcentral. Lineage: Eukaryota; Metazoa; Chordata; Mammalia; Artiodactyla; Suidae. RNAcentral also lists the same sequence under 1 other name.